Molecule: non-coding RNA, 4246 nt
Organism: Saimiri boliviensis boliviensis (Bolivian squirrel monkey)
Lineage: Eukaryota; Metazoa; Chordata; Mammalia; Primates; Cebidae
Source: RefSeq, a predicted model, not a curated record
AAAAAAAAAAAAAAAAAAAAAAAGAAAGAAAAGAAAAAGCAGGAAUGUCUGGAGCAAGGGGCCUUAGGAAAGGAAAGGAAGAAGAAGCUGUGUUCAACCUGGCAGAAGGGUUGCUGGACUGAUGGGGACCAGGCUUUUCCGCCCCCAAGGAGCCCAUGGUCAGGAUGACAGUAGGAGCCAGAGACAUUGAGUUCCUUGUCAAUUCUGGAGCUGAGCAUUUGGUGGUAACUCAGCCAAGAGCCCCUUUGUCCAGCAAGACAAUAGAUAUAAUUGGAGCAACUAGAGUUUCAGAGAAACAGGCCUUCUGCUUACCACAAACCUACUCUGUAGGGGGCCAUGAAAUUAUGCAUCAGUUCUUGAACAUGCCAGACUGCCCACUGCCUCUGUUGGGAAGGGACCUGUUAAGCAAACUAAGAGCCACCAUCACUUUUACAAACCAGGGUUCCUUACAGUUAAAAUUGCCUCAAACAGUGAUCGUAAUGGCUCUCGUAGUCCCACGGGAAGAAUGGAGGCUUUUCUUAACUGAACCUGGCCAGGGGAUAGAACCUGCCGUGGCCAAGCAAUGGCCACAGGUCUGGGCAGAAGACAACCCUCUGGGACUAGCUGUGAACCAGACUCCGGUGGUUAUCAAAGUGAAGCCAGAGGCACAGCCAGUUAGACAAGACAGACGGCACCCAGUUCCAAGGGAGGCCCUCGAGGGAAUCCAAGUCCAUCUCAGAUGCUUGAAAGCAUUUGGAAUCAUAGUUUCUUGCCAGUCUCCUUGGAAUACACCUCUCCUGCCCAUCCCCAAACCAGGUACCAAGGACUAUUGGCUGGUGCAAGAUUUGCGUCUGGUCAACAAGGUGACAGUGACUUUACACCCCGUGGUUCCUAACCUCUAUAGGUUGCUAGGACUGCUACCAGCUGAGGCUAGCUGGUUCACUUGCUUGAACUUAAAAGAUGCUUUCUUCAGUAUCUGGCUAGCCCCUGAGAGCCAGAAACUGUUUGCCUUCUAGUGGGAAGAUCCAGAGUCAGGUGUAACCAUGCAGUACACUUGGACUUGACUUCCCCAGGGGUUUAAGAACUCCCCAACCAUUUUCGGGGAAGCACCAGGACCUUCAAAGGUUUUCUGCCAAGGACAUAGGCUGUGUUCUGCUUCAGUACGUGGAUGAACUUUUGCUGGGACACCCAGCAGCAGUCGGGUGUAUCCGGGGAACUGACUCAUUGUUCAGAAACCUGGAGAGUUGUGGAUACAUGGUCUCCAAGAAAAGGGCCCAGAUCUGCCAACAACAGGUAUGUUUUCUGGGAUUUACUAUCCAGCAAGGACAGCACAGCCUGGGACCAGAGAGAAAACAAGUCAUCAGCAGCUUGCUGAUACUGAAGACCCGGACACAGGUUUGAGAAUUCUUGGGGGCCGUGGGAUUUUGCAAACUGUCCUAACUUUGCAGUUCUAGCCAAACCUCUGUAUGAGGCCACAGAGCCAUUCAGGUGGAACCCAGAGCAACAACAGGCCUUCUCCCUCUGAUGUCCGCCUCGGCCCUUGUGCUCCCAGACUUAACAAAGCCUUUCACUCUGUAUGUGUCUGCAUGAGAAAAGAUGGCAGUGGGGAUCCUCACCCAGGCCAUAGGCCCAUGGCCUCUACCAGUGGCGUACCUUGUCCAAACAACUGGACGAGGUUUCUAAAGGGUGGCCCCUGCCUACGGGUGGUAGUGGCUACCGCUCUGCUGGCACAGGAUGCAGACAAGCUAACGUUAGGACAAAAUUUAAAUAAAAGUCCCCCAUGCUGUGGUCACCUUGAUGAACACAAAGGGCCACCAUUGGCUUACAAAUGGCAGGCUAACCACGUACCAGGGCUUGUUGUGCAAAAACCCACGCAUAACCAUAGAAGUUUGUAAUACCCUAAACCCGGCCACCCUACUCCCUGUGUCGGAGGACUGGGUGACACAUGAUUGUAUAGAGGUGCUGGACUCCAUCUACUCUAGUCAGCCAGACCUGCGGGACCAACUGUGGACACAGGCAGACUGGGGACUGUAUAUGGAUGGGAGCAGCUCUGUCAGCCCCCGAGGAGAACGAUGCACUGGAUAUAUGCUGGUAACUCUAGACACAACUAUAGAGGCCAAGCCACUACCUCAGGGUACCUCUGCACAAUGAACAGAGUUAAUGGCCCUAAUGUGUGCCCUAGAACUGAGUGAAGGAAAAUUUGUUAACAUCUUUACUGAGUCUUGGUAUGCAUUCCUCACUCUCUAAGUGUAUGGAGCGUUGUACAAGGAAAAGGGUGUGUUUAACUCUGGGGGUAAAGAAAUAAAAUAUCAACAGGAAAUUUUGCAGCUAUUGGAAGUAGCAUGGAAGCCCCAGAAGGUGGUGGUCGUACACUGCCGGGGACACUAGCGAAAUUCCACUGCAGUAGCACAGGGAAAUGCUCGUACAGAUGCAGAGGCCCGAAAAGCAGCAUCCAUUCCCUACUGGGCUCAGUCACAGCUCCCCUACUGCCCCAGGCUCCUGUCCUGGUGCCAGUCUACUCUCAGGAAGAAAAAAGCUUCUUCCAAAAGGAAGGUGGAAAAGAAAUGGAGGGAAGAUGGAUAUGCCUAUCAGAUGGACGGGCUGCAGUACCACAUCUGCUGGGACCUGCAGUGGUAUUGGCUGUCCACGAAACCUCCCAACUUGGUCAAGAGUCCCUUGAAAAACUGUUAGGCUGAGAUUUUUACAUCUCUCAUUUGUCUGCACUAGCCAAAACAGUAAUCCAGUGGUGUGUGACGGGCAGGCAGCAUAAUGCCAGACAAGGACCAAUGGUCCCAACAGGAAUUCAGGCUUGUGGAAGUGUUCCCUUUAAAGACUCGCAGGUAGACUUCACCAAGAUGCCCAAGCAUGGAGGUAAUUGGUAUCUGCUGGUUCUGGUAUGUACCUACUCUGGAUAGGUAGAAGCCUACCUGACACAAACUAAAAAAGCCCAUGAAGUAACUCGUGUGCUUUUAAGAGACAUCAUUCCUAGAUUUGGACUGCCCCUGCGAGUCAGCUCAGAUAACGGGCCCACCUUUGUAGCUAACCUGGUACAGAACACAGCAAAAAUACUGGCAAUCAGCUGGAAGUUACAUGCUGCCUACCAGUCUCAGAGUUCAAGCAAAGGGGAGCAAAUGAAUCGGACUAUUAAAAAUAGCUUAGGGAAAGUGUGUCAGGAAACAGGAUUAAAUGUCCAGGUCCUCCCUAUGCUUUUGUUUAAGACUAGCUGCACUCCUAAGAAAACUGGGUAUUCCCCUUAUGAAAUCCUCUACCAUAGGCCUCUCCCCAUCCUUCAAGGAUUCCCAGGAACCCCCCAGGAACUCGGAGAGACUGAACUCCAUUGGCAAUUAUGGGCCUUGGGGAAAGUAGCAGAAAAAGUGUCAUUAUGGGUUAAUGAAAAUGUCCUGUCAGCUUAUUCUCCCCAGUUCACCCUUUCUCACCAGGUGACUGAGUUUGGAUCGAGGACUGGAACGUGGCUCCCCUAUGGCCAAGGUGGAAGGACCCCAGACUGUCAACCACUCCAACCUCCGGAAAGGUUGAGGGAAUUCCUGCAUGGAUCCAUCACAGCUGUGUGAAACCUGCAGCACCUGAAACCUGGGAAGUAAAGCCAGAUCUCCAUGACACGUGCAAAAUCACCUUAAGGAGAGCUGAGACAACAAGUUCUGCUCCAGUCACACCCCGGGAGCUGACUGGUCUGUGCAUGGCCGGAGCAUGAGGAUUUCCAGCAUGGGACAGUUGGUAAAAGGCUUUACUACCACUUUGGUCCAGGGGAAAACCUCAGCACAAGUUUAUUAGGUGAAUCACUACCGACCAGUCUCACAAGAAGACUCUGACAGUGAGAAUGAAGUGUCCGAGGGGUUCUGUCUAAGGCUCGUCCUGCAACACUAUGGCAAUUCAUCUUCUUGAAAUUAUCUGUGGGCUUGUAAAAUAAGAUGAUGGAGACAUCAAGUAAAAGCCUAAAGGGCCAAAAGAAUGCAGAAGCCUCUUCUAUUGGGGAAGGAACAAAGAAGAUAGAUCUAUUUUGGUCUCUGAGGAGCACGUUUUUUCAUAUUCCCUAGAUCUUGGUCCUACCUCAGAUUGAGAGAGACUGGUCAAGAAAAUUCUAAUCAUGUGAAAUAUUUCAUUUCAUGUCAUAUUCUAAAUUCUAAAAUUCUCUAUACAUUGUCCAACAUUUUAUUUAUAUAUCAUGUCUUGCAGUGCAUCUAUAGGCAAUACGUUGAAAACAUGGAAACAUAUGUCAGAUGUUUUCCUUAAAAACCUAUUGCCUAUA